RNAcentral lists this unclassified non-coding RNA (188 nucleotides) under plant metagenome. RNAcentral describes it as "partial contains small subunit ribosomal RNA and internal transcribed spacer 1". The stretch from base 1 to 46 matches the Rfam family "Eukaryotic small subunit ribosomal RNA", at positions 1786 to 1831 of the family's 1831-position model. The record is from RNAcentral.
AAGUCGUAACAAGGUUUCCGUAGGUGAACCUGCGGAAGGAUCAUUACCUAGAGUUGCGGGCUUUGCCUGCCAUCUCUUACCCAUGUCUUUUGAGUACCUUACGUUUCCUCGGCGGGUCCGCCCGCCGACUGGACAAUUUAAACCACUUGCGGUUGCAAUCAGCGUCUGAAAAAACUUAAUAGUUACAA